AUUCCGUCUUUCUAGUGUUGGGUCCUCAUCAUGAGUGCGAGCCUAUGGAUGUAGAUGGUACCAGUGUGGGGACUUGUUUCCUAAUGUCACGUAGGGCAGACAGAAGACUGCAUUUUCCAGCCUCUCCCUGGCUGGGUGUGGCUGUGUGUUUAGUUCCAGGCAUUGGGCAGGGAAAAGAAGUGAUGUGUGCACCCUCAGGCCAAAGCACUCUGCAGGAAAAUAGAGUUUUAACCCCUGCCAUUGUUCAGCUCAUUUUCUCAGAGGUCACAGCCCAUUCUGCGGGUGUCAAUACCAUGGAAUUCCAGAAUUAAAAUGAAUACUCAGUUGAAUAAUAAAAUUAUACGAGCUACUUGAUUGCUUCUAGAAUCCCGAUGAUCGGCUGGUUCAUUUGUGUGACUUUAUUGAACAUUUGACAAGAACAUUGAUAAUAAAUGAGGGCUCCUGUUCCAGUGGCCUCACUGCUUUCUAAUAGCCUUCACUGGCUUACUGGCUGUACCACAUUUCUGGUGCUCAAUGAUGAAGAACAAGUCACCAGCCAUCUGGGUCUCAGUUGUCUCAUCUGUAAGGAUGAAGGCAAAGUGUAAUUUGUAAAAACAAACAGUUAAGCAUGUGUACAUCCUGGAGAGCGAGAUCCUGGUGAGAAGCAGGAUGGAUUCCACUGAUGCAGAAAGAGUGGCCUGGAGGAGCCUGAAAGGGGUGAUUCAGAGCCAGCACGGAGUCCCCAGGCUAGCCCCUCAAUGAGGAAGGCCUGGAGGAUGAACGCACUCACAGCUGUGGCUUCUUCACAAUUGAUUGGGAAACCUCUACUCCUGAGGGCCUCUACCCAGUGACCACUUCGUUAGCCAUCCGUGCUACAGUACAUCUUCCAGGACACAUGAGAUGCUCUGUUGGAGAACAUGGUCUUCACUUAGCAGAAGCAGAAGAGGCAUCAAAAUAAGCCAUUCUCACACUGAUUCUUCAUCACUGGGGAUUUGGCGCCUUUUCACUGUUUAUUUUAAUAUAACUGACAACCUUUGUAGUCAAUUUGGUAUCAUUCAUAUCCUGAAAUAUCAUAGACCUGUCUGUAUCUGAUUUGCAAAGUACAGUAAGCAGAAUAAUGCAAUGAAAGUUAUGAUGCUUUAUCUUAAG
RNAcentral lists this long non-coding RNA (1128 nucleotides) under Equus caballus (horse). Its description in RNAcentral is "lncRNA (ENSECAG00000034704.3)". Lineage: Eukaryota; Metazoa; Chordata; Mammalia; Perissodactyla; Equidae. The record is from RNAcentral.